RNAcentral lists this ribosomal RNA (242 nucleotides) under uncultured bacterium. RNAcentral's name for it is "partial 16S ribosomal RNA". It matches the Rfam family "Bacterial small subunit ribosomal RNA", at positions 524 to 765 of the family's 1533-position model. The record is from RNAcentral.
GACAGAGGGUGCGAACGUUGUUCGGAAUUACUGGGCGUAAAGCGCAUGUAGGCGGCAACGCAAGUCGGGCGUGAAAUCCCACGGCUCAACCGUGGAAGUGCACUCGAAACUGCGUAGCUAGAGUCCUGGAGAGGAAGGUGGAAUGCUUGGUGUAGAGGUGAAAUUCGUAGAUAUCAAGCGGAACACCGGUGGCGAAGGCGGCCUUCUGGACAGUGACUGACGCUGAGAUGCGAAAGCGUGGG